This 460-nucleotide ribosomal RNA is filed under the name uncultured archaeon. Its description in RNAcentral is "bacterial SSU rRNA". It matches the Rfam family "Archaeal small subunit ribosomal RNA", at positions 886 to 1373 of the family's 1478-position model. The record is from RNAcentral.
GGGUGAAGCCUGCGGUUCUGGGAUCAACGCCGGAACCCUACCGGCGGAAGCAGAGUGAAGGUCAAGCUGAAGACUUUAAACACUGAAGAAGGUGCAUGGCCGUCGCGUGGGGGAGGUGUCGUUAAGUCAGGUAACGCGAGAUCCCGCCUCUAGUUGCUACCAUUAUUCUCAGGAGUAGUGGAGCUAAUUAGAGGGACCGCCGUCGCUGAGACGGAGGAAGGUGGGGGCUACGGCAGGUCAGUAUGCCCCGAAACCCUCGGGCCACACGCGGGCUGCAAUGGUAAGGACAAUGAGUUUCGAUUCCGAAAGGAGGAGGCAAUCUCUAAACCUUACCACAGUUAUGAUUGAGGGCUGAAACUCGCCCUCAUGAAUAUGGAAUAGUAACCGCGUGUCACUAUCGCGCGGUGAAUACGUCCCUGCUCCUUGCACACACCGCCCGUAAUCACUAUGAAUUCCGGCC